This 67-nucleotide ribosomal RNA is filed under the name Pandorina morum. RNAcentral describes it as "partial 5.8S ribosomal RNA". It matches the Rfam family "5.8S ribosomal RNA", at positions 1 to 67 of the family's 154-position model. From Rfam's summary of the family: 5.8S ribosomal RNA (5.8S rRNA) is a component of the large subunit of the eukaryotic ribosome. Lineage: Eukaryota; Viridiplantae; Chlorophyta; Chlorophyceae; Chlamydomonadales; Volvocaceae. The record is from RNAcentral.
AACUCUCAACAACGGAUAUCUUGGCUCUCAGAUCGAUGAAGAACGCAGCGAAAUGCGAUACGUAGUG